UACGGAAUGUGCAAACGUUAUUCGGAAUCACUGGGCUUAAAGAGUCCGUAGGCGGCAUGUUAGGUGAGGUGUGAAAUCCCCCGGCUCAACCGAGGAAUUGCGCUUCAAACCGGCGUGCUUGAGGAAGAUAGAGGUGGGCGGAACUGAUGGUGGAGCGGUGAAAUGCGUUGAUAUCAUCAGGAACACCGGAGGCGAAAGCGGCCCACUGGGUCUUUUCUGACGCUGAGGGACGAAAGCUAGGGGAGCGAACGGG
RNAcentral lists this non-coding RNA (253 nucleotides) under uncultured bacterium. Its description in RNAcentral is "partial 16S ribosomal RNA". It matches the Rfam family "Bacterial small subunit ribosomal RNA", at positions 524 to 776 of the family's 1533-position model. RNAcentral also lists the same sequence under 1 other name. The record is from RNAcentral.